UGGGAUUGAUGGAUCAGAUGAUGGGUCUGU
This 30-nucleotide non-coding RNA is filed under the name Rattus norvegicus (Norway rat). The record is from RNAcentral. Lineage: Eukaryota; Metazoa; Chordata; Mammalia; Rodentia; Muridae.